This 807-nucleotide ribosomal RNA is filed under the name Triticum aestivum (bread wheat). RNAcentral describes it as "partial small subunit ribosomal RNA". The record is from RNAcentral. Lineage: Eukaryota; Viridiplantae; Streptophyta; Magnoliopsida; Poales; Poaceae.
AUGGACGUAUCCAUCCUUCUGCUCCCGCUCCUCAUCCUCUGCUCCCUCCCGUCGCUCGCCUCCGCCUGCGACCGCUACGCGCACCGCUCCAGAGCCGCCUACUACACCUCCUCGCUCACCCUCGCCGCCGGUUCCUGCGGGUACGGCACAGCGGCCGCGUCCCUCAACGGCGGCCUGCUCGCCGCGGCGGGCCCGGCCCUGUACAGGCAAGGCGUCGGCUGCGGCGCGUGCUUCCAGGUGCGCUGCAAGGACGAAGAGCUCUGCGGCACCGCCGGCGUGAGGGUCGUCGUCACGGACCGCGCGAGGACGAAGGAGAACGGCACGGACCUCGUGCUCAGCGGCCCGGCGUUCGCCGCCAUGGCCCGCCCCGGCAUGGCCGCGCGGCUCGCCAAGCUCGGCGCCGUCGACGUCGAGUACAAGAGGGUGCCGUGCGAGUACAAGGGCAAGAACCUCUCGCUGCGGGUGGAGCAGAGGAGCCGCGCGCCGAACGAGCUGGCCGUCACGAUCCUCUACCAGGGCGGCCAGACCGACAUCGUCGCCGUCGACGUCGCGCAGGUCGGAUCGUCGUCGAGCUGGAGGUCCCUGACGCGUGACCACGGGCCGACGUGGAGCACGAGCCUGGCGCCGCCGGGGCCGCUGCAGCUCAGGGCGGUGGUGACCGGCGGGUACGACGGGAAGUGGGUGUGGGCCGACCGGGAGGUCCUGCCGCGCCAGUGGCGCGCCGGCGAGGUCUACGACACCGGCGUGCAGAUCACCGACAUCGCCCAAGAAGCCUGCUUCCCCUGCGACACGCAGGAGUGGAGGUGA